UGGGCCAGACGCAAGAGUGUUAUGUUACGAACAAUCCAAUUCCUGAUGAUGAUCGAGAUUGAAGAGUUAUGGAAAAUGAUCGAGUUUGAUUCAGAUCCAGGAGGAGCUAGGGUUGCUGUUUCGGUUAACCAGAUGAAUAAAUAGGGUUUUAUGUCGCAAAUGGAUUUGACGUUGUUUCCAUCAAUUGGGGAAAGGCAUCUCUCGUUGUUAGAAUACGUACAGUUGUAGCCCAUGUCCGCGUCCUAAUGAGCUUUGUUUCUAAUCAAGCUGAGGACGAGCUGCAUCAAGUGAUGAUGAUAAAAACCAGACUAAUAAAAUGGGUUCUUGAUUCUUUUGCACUGGGAUUUAGCUUCAUUCACCAAUAAUAAAUUUUCCAGAUGUUAUUAAUUGGUUUACUGAGAUGCCUUGUGAAUGCCCAGUCAAUGACAAAACUAAAUGGCCAGGAGUGCUGGUGAUGGUCGGAUUAAGAGCUAGACCGGAAGAAAAUGUAAAGACAACCAGAAAACUCCAUGGGAAACUUUUAUUAUGCGUUCACAUCAUUGUCGUUGGUGGAACGGUGUUUAGAAUGAGUGUACUGCAGUAAAUUUUUUUGUUUCAGAUGAUUGUCAAUGAUCGACAUGGUCUCAGACAGCUAGGAAUUAAUAGAUGCUGCAGAUUCCAAGUUGCAACCCGUUGUAGCAAAUUCUGGGAGGGUUUUAUGCAGAGAACAGAUAUGCAGACAGUAGGAGUUACGGAUGUCUUUGAUCAUGGCAGUACUCGCAACUAGGAGGAGUUGACAGUAUCUGCACUCACGUGUUCUCAAAACAAGCCAAAAAUCUCUUUGGACGCCUGUUAUCAACGUACAUAUUAAGCCUUAAAGAUUCCAGGCACGUAACAACGUUCCUUUGGACGACACUUCGGAUGACAAUGGGUCCAGGAGAAGAUGGAAUAUAAUCUCACAACAGGCACGUAACAACUUUUCUUUGGAUGCCAAUGGGUCCAGAAGAAGAUGGAAUACAAUCUCACGAGGGUGAUACUUUGCACAGUAGUUAGAGGAAGAGAUGGUUGUUAACUGGAUCGAGUUAGUGUUUAUACGUCUAAUUAAUCUACAUUGUUUUUCAAAGGUGUUAGAGUAUUGCUCGGUCAACCUCGCAUGCGUUGUUAUUUCAAGCAUGUUUGUCAAUGUUAGUGAUCAAAACUAUAAGUCUUGAUUUCUAGUCUAUUAUAACUAAGUCUCGGA
Long non-coding RNA from Papaver somniferum (opium poppy), 1219 nucleotides. RefSeq lists it as uncharacterized. The transcript has 8 exons. The record is from RefSeq and is a predicted model, not a curated record. NCBI's taxonomy places the organism in Eukaryota, Viridiplantae, Streptophyta, Magnoliopsida, Ranunculales, Papaveraceae.